GUAGCUCAGGGGUUAGAGCAUCGUUUCAGACGAAGGUCGGUGGUUCGAAUCCACCCU
Molecule: transfer RNA, 57 nt
Filed under: Caudoviricetes sp.
Lineage: Duplodnaviria; Heunggongvirae; Uroviricota; Caudoviricetes
Description: tRNA-OTHER
Rfam family: tRNA
About the family: Transfer RNA (tRNA) molecules are approximately 80 nucleotides in length. Their secondary structure includes four short double-helical elements and three loops (D, anti-codon, and T loops).
Source: RNAcentral